RNAcentral lists this non-coding RNA (30 nucleotides) under Homo sapiens (human). Lineage: Eukaryota; Metazoa; Chordata; Mammalia; Primates; Hominidae. The record is from RNAcentral.
UUCCAAGUGGAGACCUGGCCCGUUCUGCCC